This 253-nucleotide ribosomal RNA is filed under the name uncultured bacterium. RNAcentral's name for it is "partial 16S ribosomal RNA". It matches the Rfam family "Bacterial small subunit ribosomal RNA", at positions 524 to 776 of the family's 1533-position model. The record is from RNAcentral.
UACGAAGGGGGCUAGCGUUGCUCGGAAUGACUGGGCGUAAAGGGCGCGUAGGCGGACUGCACAGUCAGGCGUGAAAUUCCUGGGCUCAACCUGGGGGCUGCGUUUGAUACGUAUGAGCUUGAGUUCGGAAGAGGGUCGUGGAAUUCCCAGUGUAGAGGUGAAAUUCGUAGAUAUUGGGAAGAACACCGGUGGCGAAGGCGGCGACCUGGUCCGAUACUGACGCUGAGGCGCGAAAGCGUGGGGAGCAAACAGG